AUGGUGAGGGGAGAGGAGGCAGCGUGCAGAGCCAGAGGCAGGAGUAGGUGUCACAGAAGAGAUGGGAGGACGUGCAUGUGCCCGCCUCACAAGGACACAGCACAGAGCCUGGGGCAGAGCAAGCCUUCAGCAGAGAGGAGAGGAGUUUCUUUCUUCUUCCCUUCUGCCCCUUCUAGAAUAGUCAAAGGCCAUCUAGGGUCUUGGAAUCCAUCACUCCAGCCUCUCCCCGAGCAGCUGACACAUCGCAGUAACGCUUCUCCAGAAGUCAGGGUCUGCUGACUCCGGCAGGGACGGGAAGGCAAGCGAGCACAAAAAGUGGGCCCUACACGAGAAGGUUCCACAGAUACUGCCUGCCUAAUGUGGAUCUUGAGUCAGAUCCUACGAAAUCCAGAAGGAGGGCAUGGCUGAGAGCACCUUGGAGAGGCGGAAAAAGGGGAGCUGACUCAACACUGCUCAGUUGGGAAGGUGCAGUGUCCCGGGGAGGGAAAGGUAGGUGACUCAAGUUGGAACUUUCUGGGCACAGAGGAGCUGGGAUCUCUCAUCCAAUUCAUGCAAAUCCUUGGCUACAUCAACCCAGAUCCCACCCCUCCCCAUACGAGGCUUGAAAUCUAAAUCUAACAUGACUCACCAACCAUGUGGUUUGCAAACAUCACUAAGCUUGUCUCAUUUUCCUCAUCUGUAAAAUGGUUUAAUAAUCUCUGACCUGCCUGCCUUACAGGGCUGAUGUGGGGAGGAGGAACCCAUGGGCUGAGGAUGUAAGAAUGCUCGGUGACUAUGAGUGUUGUACCAACGUAAAGGGUUGUUUGAGGGAAUGUUUUAAGAUGAUUUCUGGGUCGGGCACGGUGGCUCACGCCUGUAAUCCCAGCACUUUGGGAGGCUGAGGCAGGCAGCUCACCUGAGGUCAGGGGUUUGAGACCAACCUGGCCAACAUGGUGAAACCCCGUCUCUACUACAAGUACAAAAAAUUAGCCCAGUGUGGUGGCAGGCACCUGUAGUCCCAGUUACUCGGGAAGCUGAGGCAGGAGAAUUCCUUGAACCCGAGAGGCGGAGGUUGCAGUGAGCCAAGAUCAUGCCAUUGCACUCCAGCCUGGGCAACAGAGCAAGACUCCAUCUCAAAAAAAAAAAAGAUGAUUUCUGGCCUGGGGGUGGUGGUGGUGGCGACUGGAGGCUGCUCUGGAGUGGUUAGGGGAGAUGUUGGGGGAAUCCCAGGAAGCCAGACCCAAAGUUCCAAAGUAGGGUAGAAUUCUCUUGAACAUGGGUUUAGAGUAUCUCUUAGUGUUCUGGUACAAAGUUCCUUCUCCUCCUAAAAAGCAAAUCACAAGACCAGCACAAUGUGUGGGGAUCACGAUCUUCCAGCAGCCCACAGCUUGGCUGUUGCACUCUUCCUGAAUGCCUCUGGAUUUCUACACGGAGGCACAGAGCUGAUCUGGGACAGUCCCUCCAACCAGACUCUGAUCACACCCCCAAACUCAAGCCCAGCAGGCUGACUGAUGUUGACUUCUACCAGUCGAAGGCCAUCCUUAGCCACACUCUUCCUCCUUGGUGUAGUGGAGGUCCGGAACUAGACUGUCUGGGUUCAAACCCUAGGCUUACCAUUAGCCAGGCAUGUGUGCCCUCGGCAGGUUAUUAACCCUUCUGGGCCUUCACUUCCCCAUCUGUAUUUGUGGAUAAGAGUAGGCCCAUCUCAUAGCCUUGUUUUAAGAGUUGAAUGUAUUAACAAAGUGCUUAGCACAGUGCUUGCCACCCAAUAAGCACUAUUCCUGUACUAGCUCCUUUUGCCAAGAUUGGGCUGAAGGUCUGUUUAUUGUUUUUGUUUUUGUUUGAGACAGAGUCUCGCUUUGUCACCAGGCUAGAGUGCAGUGGCGCAAUCUUGACUCACUGCAACCUCCGCCUCCUGGAUUCAAGCGAUUCCCUUGCCUCAGCCUCCCAAGUAGCUGGGACUCCAGGCACGCACCACCGUGCCUGGCUAAUUUUUUUGUAUUUUAGUAGAGAUGGGGUUUCACCAUGUUGUCCAGGAUGGUCUUGAUCUCCUGACCUCGUGAUCUGCCUGCCUCGGCCUCCCAAAGUGCUGGGAUUACAGGCAUGAGCCACCACACCUGGCCUUAAGGUCUGUUUUUGAGAGGCCUCUGUGACUGCUCUCUGCUCUAUUGCCUUCCUCCACAGUUGCCUUGUCCCUUGUCAUGUUGGUGCUUCCUGGUCACACAGAAGCAGAGAGCCAGCAUUCAUCCUUCUUGGGAACUCUCGGUCCUCUCCACUUGCCUGGGCUUGAGAUCCUCCUCUACAAAGUCAUGUCCCUCUUAUCAUUCAAAACUCUGCUCAAUACCCAUGUCCUUCAUGAAACAUGGUAGUGGUGGCCCCAGUGGGAGAAGCAUAAACUCCGGGAUCAGAUAAACCUGGGUUUGAAUCCCAGCCUAACCUGUCCCACCAGCUGGGUGACCUUGGGCAAUUACUUAACCUCUCUUAGUCUCAAUGUCCUUACAUGUAACAUGAGGUAAGUAUCUCUUCCUCAUGGAUGAUGAUGAGGGUGAUGCCUGGGGCAGCAAUGGCACAUAGUAGGUGCUCAACAAAUGUUACUCUUCCCUCCUCUUAACCUUGCUCUGAUAGCAGUUUCUUCUCUCUCCUCCAGCCCUUAACAGCAUUUUACAGUCUCAGUAAGAGGAGGAAACAUACAUACACACUGUGUGUAUGUUCUUAGAUAUUUAUCAUGUGUUGGCUCUUCUUUUGUUCAUUCAACACUUAUCAGGCAUUUGCUAUUUGUCUGAUGCUCUGCUAGGCCCUGGGGAUGACUAAGACUGAAUCCUUUCCCGAGGAGCUCACAGAAAAUUGAGCGGAUCAUCCUGAGGUCAGGAGUUUGAGACAAUCCUGGCCAACGUCGUGAAAUCCUGUCUCUACCAAAAAAAAAUAUGAAAAUUAGCUGGGUGUAAUGGCAGGCGCCUAUAGUCCCAGCUACUCGGAAGAUUGAGGCAGGGAGAACUGCUUGAACCUGGGAGGUGGAAGUUGCCAUGAGCCAAGAUCAUACCACUGCACUUCAGCCUGGGUGAUAGAGAGAGACUCCGUCUCAAAAUACAAAAAGGAAAGAAAAAGAAAAUUGAGAGGAUCAAAUAUAUGUAUGUGUAGAUAACGUCAGGGUCUGUGGUCAGUGUUCUAGUGGGGGCCGUCUCUGCAAGGCGCUUUCAAUCACAGCAUAUGGUGCGACUAACAACACUCCUCUCAGCAGUCAAAGGCCUUCAGUUCAACUCAGAAAGUGUUGACCGGGGCCCUGCCGUGUACCAGGCACUGUACUAGAUAGUGGGGAUUCAGGAUGAAGAAGACAGUGCUUCCACCCUCAAGGAGUGCAGGAUCCAGUAGGAAAGACAGACAGAGGAUGUAAGGGUUACACCGUGUGGACAGUGCCCCUGUGCCCAGGUGUGAUCAUGCAAGAGGGAGACAGCUAAGUGUGAGAGGUAAGGACGACUUCCUGGAGGAGGUGGCAUCUAAGACUUGGAGGACAAGUAGGAAAGACAGACAGAGGAUGUAAGGUUUACACCGUGUGGACAGUGCCCCUAUGCCCAGGUGUGGUCAUGCAAGAGGGAGACAGCUAAGUGUGAGGGGUAAGGACGACUUCCUGGAGGAGGUGGCAUCUAAGGCUUGGAGGACAAGUAGGAAUUGGCUAACAAAGGAGGGACAGAAAGUCCUUCCAGGUGGAGGGAAAUAGUCUGGGAGGAGCCAGGCCAGGCAUGGGGCUCGGGGGAUUAAAUGUAGUUUUGUAAGGUUGGACGCAUGCACAGGAAGCUCGGAGCCUCCAGCAAGAUCCUCUUUUCUUCUCUUUCUGCCCCCAACACCCUUUCCCUGGUCACAUCCCUCGGUCCCAGCUCCAGAAGACCCCUUUUCCAGAGGCUUCUGCCUCUCUGAUGCUAAAA
This 3899-nucleotide long non-coding RNA is filed under the name Macaca mulatta (Rhesus monkey). RNAcentral's name for it is "lncRNA (ENSMMUG00000055243.1)". The record is from RNAcentral. Lineage: Eukaryota; Metazoa; Chordata; Mammalia; Primates; Cercopithecidae.